This 252-nucleotide ribosomal RNA is filed under the name uncultured bacterium. Its description in RNAcentral is "partial 16S ribosomal RNA". It matches the Rfam family "Bacterial small subunit ribosomal RNA", at positions 94 to 339 of the family's 1533-position model. The record is from RNAcentral.
AGUGGCGAACGGGUGAGGAACACGUAAGAAACCUGCCUUGAAGACGAGGAUAACUGUUGGAAACGAUAGCUAAUACUGGAUAGGAUAUUUAGUCGCAUGACUUUAUAUUUAAAGAUGCCUUAAAGCAUCACUUCGAGAUGGUCUUGCGCAGCAUUAGCUAGUUGGUAGGGUAACGGCCUACCAAGGCGACGAUGCUUAGCUGGUCUGAGAGGAUGAACAGCCACACUGGGACUGAGACACGGCCCAGACUCC